This 270-nucleotide ribosomal RNA is filed under the name uncultured prokaryote. RNAcentral's name for it is "partial 16S ribosomal RNA". It matches the Rfam family "Bacterial small subunit ribosomal RNA", at positions 524 to 792 of the family's 1533-position model. The record is from RNAcentral.
UACGGGGGGUGCAAGCGUUGUUCGGAUUUACUGGGCGUAAAGCGCACGCAGGCGGGCUGUCAAGUCGGGUGUGAAAACCAGGAGCUUAACUUCUGGCCUGCACUCGAAACUGGCAGUCUUGAGUACCGGAGAGGAUGGCGGAAUUCCUGGUGUAGCGGUGAAAUGCGUAGAUAUCAGGAAGAACACCGGUGGCGAAGGCGGCCAUCUGGACGGAUACUGACGCUCAGGUGCGAAGGCUAGGGGAGCAAACAGGAUUAGAUACCCCCGGUA